CUACGGGGCGCUGCAGUUAGGGAUAUUCGGUAAUGGGGGAAACCCUGACCGAGCAAUGCCGCGUGAAUGAAGAAGUAUUUCGAUAUGUAAAGUUCUGUUGUUAAGGAAGAAAGGUACGAAUAGGAAAUGAUUCGUAAUUGACGGUACUUAACCAGAAAGCCCCUGCUAACUACGUGCCAGCAGCAGCGGUAAUAGGUAGGGGGCGAGCGUUAUCCGGAAUUAUUGGGCGUAAAGGGUGCGUAGGCGGCCUGUCAAGUCCGAGUUGAAAGCCCACGGCUUAACCGUGGAGGGGGCUCGGAAACUGAUAGGCUUGAAUCCAGAAGAGGCAAGUGGAAUUCUAUGUGGAGCGGUGGAAUGCGUAGAUAUAUGGAGGAACACCAGUGGCGAAGGCGGCUUGCUGGGCUGGUAUUGACGCUGAUGCACGAAAGCGUGGGGAGCAAACAGGAUUAGAUACCCCCGUAGUC
Molecule: ribosomal RNA, 464 nt
Filed under: uncultured bacterium
Lineage: Bacteria
Description: partial 16S ribosomal RNA
Rfam family: Bacterial small subunit ribosomal RNA
Source: RNAcentral